GAUGAACGCUGGCGGCGUGCCUAACACAUGCAAGUCGAACGAAGCUUGACGGAUGAUUUCUUCGGAAUGAAACCAGAUAUGACUUAGUGGCGGACGGGUGAGUAACACGUGAGCAACCUGCCUUUCAGAGGGGGAUAACGGCUGGAAACGGUCGCUAAUACCGCAUGAUGUGUUCGGAUGGCAUCAUCUGAACAUCAAAGAUUUAUCGCUGAAAGAUGGGCUCGCGUCUGAUUAGAUAGUUGGUGGGGUAACGGCCUACCAAGUCUACGAUCAGUAGCCGGACUGAGAUGUUGAACGGCCACAUUGGGACUGAGAUACGGCCCAGACUCCUACGGGAGGCAGCAGUGGGGAAUAUUGCACAAUGGGGGAAACCCUGAUGCAGCAACGCCGCGUGAAGGAUGACGGUUUUCGGAUUGUAAACUUCUUUUCUUAGUGACGAAGACAGUGACGGUAGCUAAGGAAUAAGCAUCGGCUAACUACGUG
RNAcentral lists this ribosomal RNA (483 nucleotides) under uncultured bacterium. RNAcentral's name for it is "partial 16S ribosomal RNA". It matches the Rfam family "Bacterial small subunit ribosomal RNA", at positions 28 to 507 of the family's 1533-position model. The record is from RNAcentral.